AUUGAACAAUGCGUGUACUGCAUUCAAGUAAUAGAAUCUUAUAUUAUUUUCUCUUUCUAUUUUCUUUCUCUUUCGGGUUCCAUCUCUCUCCGAUCUAUCUCUCUUAUCCUCUCUUUACAGUCUAUUUCUCUCUGGAAAACCAGUCUCUCUCUCUCAAAAAAUACUCUCUCGUUCUCUCUCUAAAGACCUCUCUCUCUUUCAAACUCUCUUCUUCUCUGUCCCUGACACCUUCUCUUCUCUCUUUCCAAAAACUCUUCUUUUCUUUUAUGAAAUUCCAAUUCUAUCCCAUAUUAUAUUUCUAAUUUCAAAAUCUGUCCCUAUAUUUUAAUUACAC
Molecule: long non-coding RNA, 334 nt
Filed under: Carica papaya (papaya)
Lineage: Eukaryota; Viridiplantae; Streptophyta; Magnoliopsida; Brassicales; Caricaceae
Description: long non-coding RNA (CPAP_LNC014097)
Source: RNAcentral